AUUGAACGCUGGCGGAAUGCUUUACACAUGCAAGUCGAACGGUAGAGGGGGCAACCCCUCGAGAGUGGCGAACGGGUGAGUAAUAUAUCGGAACGUGCCCAGUCGUGGGGGAUAACGUAGCGAAAGUUACGCUAAUACCGCAUACGAUCUAAGGAUGAAAGCGGGGGCUCUUCGGACCUCGCGCUAACAGAUGAGCCUAGGUCGGAUUAGCUAGUUGGUGGGGUAAUGGCCCACCAAGGCGACGAUCCGUAACUGGUCUGAGAGGAUGAUCAGUCACACUGGAACUGAGACACGGUCCAGACUCCUACGGGAGGCAGCAGUGGGGAAUAUUGGACAAUGGGCGAAAGCCUGAUCCAGCCAUGCCGCGUGUGUGAAGAAGGUCUUCGGAUUGUAAAGCACUUUAAGUCGGGAGGAAGGACUGUAGGCUAAUACCUUGCAGUUUUGACGUUACCGACAGAAUAAGCACCGGCUAACUUCGUGCCAGCAGCCGCAGUAA
This 496-nucleotide ribosomal RNA is filed under the name uncultured bacterium. Its description in RNAcentral is "partial 16S ribosomal RNA". It matches the Rfam family "Bacterial small subunit ribosomal RNA", at positions 30 to 523 of the family's 1533-position model. The record is from RNAcentral.